UAGACAUCAAUAAUCAUCUUUUACAACUUUCAAGUAAUCAUUGAUCAUAUCAAAAUUUAAUAAGAAAGAAGUCAUAACCCUUGAAUUAUUGACCUUCAGCGCAUGCACAUGAUAUAAUAUUCAAAUUAGACUGAUCCAAAAAUUUAAUUUCCUAAUUGAUUUUAUGAUCAUACAUGUGAAUAAAAUUUUCAAAUCAACAAAUAAAGACUAGAUAUACAUUUGCGGAGUGACAUUGAAUACUUGCAAGCCGUGGACUGUGGUUCUAUACAUUUGUACUUUUAGGAUUAGAAAAGAUUUAUGUACCUAGAGAUAACUGUACAUGAACAUAUACACCACUAGCUUCCC
Molecule: long non-coding RNA, 345 nt
Filed under: Solanum tuberosum (potato)
Lineage: Eukaryota; Viridiplantae; Streptophyta; Magnoliopsida; Solanales; Solanaceae
Description: long non-coding RNA (STUB_LNC009140)
Source: RNAcentral